CCUACGGGAGGCAGCAGUGGGGGAUAUUGCACAAUGGGGGAAACCCUGAUGCAGCGACGCCGCGUGGGCGAAGAAGUAUUUCGGUAUGUAAAGCCCUAUCAGCAGGGAAGAAGAAAUGACGGUACCUGAGUAAGAAGCACCGGCUAAAUACGUGCCAGCAGCCGCGGUAAUACGUAUGGUGCAAGCGUUAUCCGGAUUUACUGGGUGUAAAGGGAGCGCAGGCGGCACGGCAAGCCUGAUGUGAAAGCCCGCGGCCCAACCGCGGGACUGCAUUGGGAACUACCGGGCUGGAGUGCCGGAGAGGUAGGCGGAAUGCCUGGUGUAGCGGGGAAAUGCGUAGAGAUUAGGAGGAACACCGGUGGCGAAGGCGGCUUACUGGACUGUAACUGACGUUGAGGCUCGAAAGCGUGGGGAGCAAACAGGAUUAGAUACCCUGGUAGUC
Molecule: ribosomal RNA, 442 nt
Filed under: uncultured bacterium
Lineage: Bacteria
Description: partial 16S ribosomal RNA
Rfam family: Bacterial small subunit ribosomal RNA
Source: RNAcentral